UACGAAGGGGACUAGCGUUGCUCGGAAUCACUGGGCGUAAAGGGUGCGUAGGCGGGUCUUUAAGUCAGGGGUGAAAUCCUGGAGCUCAACUCCAGAACUGCCUUUGAUACUGAAGAUCUUGAGUGCGGGAGAGGUGAGUGGAACUGCGAGUGUAGAGGUGAAAUUCGUAGAUAUUCGCAAGAACACCAGUGGCGAAGGCGGCUCACUGGCCCGAUACUGACGCUGAGGCACGAAAGCGUGGGGAGCAAACAGG
RNAcentral lists this ribosomal RNA (253 nucleotides) under uncultured bacterium. Its description in RNAcentral is "partial 16S ribosomal RNA". It matches the Rfam family "Bacterial small subunit ribosomal RNA", at positions 524 to 776 of the family's 1533-position model. The record is from RNAcentral.